This 1433-nucleotide ribosomal RNA is filed under the name uncultured bacterium. RNAcentral's name for it is "bacterial SSU rRNA". It matches the Rfam family "Bacterial small subunit ribosomal RNA". The record is from RNAcentral.
AGAGUUUGAUUCUGGCUCAGAACGUACGCUGGCGGCACGCCUAACACAUGCAAGUCGAACGAAGUAGCAAUACUUAGUGGCAGACGGGUGAGUAACAUGUAGGUAUCUGCCCUUUGGCCUGGAAUAACACGAGGAAACUUGUGCUAAUACCGGAUAAGUCUUUACGGAGAAAGCUUUAUGCACCAUUGGAUGAGCCUGCACUUGAUUAGUUUGUUGGUGGGGUAAUGGCCUACCAAGACUGUGAUCAAUAGCUGAUUUGAGAGGAUGAUCAGCCACAUUGGGACUGAGACACGGCCCAAACUCCUACGGGAGGCAGCAGUGGGGAAUCUUGCACAAUGGAGGAAACUCUGAUGCAGCGAUGCCGCGUGAGUGAAGAAGGCCCUUGGGUUGUAAAGCUCUUUCGUCGGGGAAGAAAAUGACUGUACCCGAAUAAGAAGGUCCGGCUAACUUCGUGCCAGCAGCCGCGGUAAUACGAAGGGACCUAGCGUAGUUCGGAAUUACUGGGCUUAAAGAGUUCGUAGGUGGUUGAAAUAGUUGGUGGUGAAAUCCCAGAGCUUAACUCUGGAACUGCCAUCAAAACUUUUCAGCUAGAGUAUGAUAGAGGAAAGCAGAAUUUCUAGUGUAGAGGUGAAAUUCGUAGAUAUUAGAAAGAAUACCAAUUGCGAAGGCAGCUUUCUGGAUCAUUACUGACACUGAGGAACGAAAGCAUGGGUAGCGAAGAGGAUUAGAUACCCUCGUAGUCCAUGCCGUAAACGAUGUGUGUUAGACGUUGGAAAUUUAUUUUCAGUGUCGCAGGGAAACCGAUAAACACACCGCCUGGGGAGUACGACCGCAAGGUUAAAACUCAAAUGAAUUGACGGGGACCCGCACAAGUAGUGGAGCAUGUGGUUUAAUUCGAAGAUACGCGCAGAACCUUACCAACACUUGACAUGUUCGUCGCGACUCUAAGAGAUUAGAGUUUUCGGUUCGGCCGGACGAAACACAGGUGCUGCAUGGCUGUCGUCAGCUCGUGUCGUGAGAUGUUGGGUUAAGUCCCGCAACGAGCGCAACCCUCACUUUUAGUUGCCAUCAUUAAGUUGGGCACUCUGAAAGAACUGCCAGUGAUAAGCUGGAGGAAGGUGGGGAUGACGUCAAGUCCUCAUGGCCCUUACGUGUUGGGCUACACACGUGCUACAAUGGUAUUUACAACAGGAAGCAAGACUGCGAAGUUAAGCAAAUCCCUAAAAAAUACCUCAGUUCGGAUUGCACUCUGCAACUCGAGUGCAUGAAGCUGGAAUUACUAGUAAUCGUGGAUCAGCGUGCCACGGUGAAUGCGUUCCCGGGUCUUGUACACACCGCCCGUCACACCAUGGGAGUUGGUUCUACCUUAAGGCAAGGUUUUAAACCCUUGACCACGGUAUAGUCAGCGACUGGGGUGAAGUCGUAACAAGGUA